GACAGAGGUGGCGAGCGUUGUUCGGAUUUACUGGGCGUAAAGGGUCUGUAGGCGGUCUGCUAAGUCAGACGUGAAAUCCCUCAGCUUAACUGGGGAACUGCGUCUGAGACUGAUGGACUUGAGGACAGGAGAGGAACGCGGAAUUCCAGGUGUAGCGGUGAAAUGCGUAGAUAUCGGGAGGAACACCUGUGGCGAAAGCGGCGCACUGGACCACAACUGACGCUGAGGCGCGAAAGCUAGGGGAGCAAACAGG
Molecule: ribosomal RNA, 253 nt
Filed under: uncultured prokaryote
Description: partial 16S ribosomal RNA
Rfam family: Bacterial small subunit ribosomal RNA
Source: RNAcentral